GCGAAGGUGGCGGAAUUGGUAGACGCGCUAGCUUCAGGUGUUAGUGUCCUUACGGACGUGGGGGUUCAAGUCCCCCCUUCGCACCA
RNAcentral lists this transfer RNA (86 nucleotides) under Shigella flexneri K-1770. RNAcentral describes it as "tRNA-Leu". It matches the Rfam family "tRNA". From Rfam's summary of the family: Transfer RNA (tRNA) molecules are approximately 80 nucleotides in length. Their secondary structure includes four short double-helical elements and three loops (D, anti-codon, and T loops). Lineage: Bacteria; Pseudomonadati; Pseudomonadota; Gammaproteobacteria; Enterobacterales; Enterobacteriaceae. RNAcentral also lists the same sequence under 1 other name. The record is from RNAcentral.